AAAGGCUGAGCAUGCCUUGCAUGUCAGUCGGACGGGCGCGCUUCCUUCUGCCUGGCAGUGAGUGACGGAUGAGUGAUACAUCCAUCCGAGCCCGGCCUGGCGGGAUAACUAACUAGACGAAUAAUUAAUACCGACCACAAACUACCUGUGGGUGAAGGCGACCGACCGGCCUGCCUCGAUCGAAACGACCGAUGUAUGACUGAUUAGCUGGUGGGGGGGGUGACUGCCUACGAAAGCAACAAUCACUGGCUGGACAGAAAGAACAAUCACCCUGGCUGUGACUGACACACCGCACUCAUUCCUAAGGGAGGAAUGGGGAAUUAAUUUUGAAGAAUGGGGGCCUGAUUGAUCCAUGCCUGCCGUGUGAGUAAAGACUGCCUUCUGUUUGUAAAUUUUUUUUGUCCAGAAAGAAACGUGCCUGGUACCCACCCUCGAUCAAUGACCCGACCGAAAAAAUACCCGCUAACUACCUGCCUGCCACCACCCUAAUACAUACGGUGGGAGCGAUCGUCAAUCUUACUGACUGGAAAUAAAGCGCGCGCGGGUUGAUUGAUAAGACAUGAAAUCACUCCCCUCGCUCUGCCUGUGAAUGUUGUUAGUGACUGUCUGGAUUGAGUGAGAGGGAGGUAGAUAUCAUUCCGUAUGUAUCAGUGACGUGCAGAUAUAUAUGAAUGACUAUGGAUGGCGAAGGCCCCUGCCAGGUACGUGACUGACACUCAUGCACGAAAGCGUGGCGAGCAAAAUGGAUACAUAGGUUGUCACGCACUACCUAAUGAAUAUCAACUAUUGGUGAUGCAUUCCUUCGUACUACGUACUCAGCAUGAAACGACUGCUGGGACGUCGCUGAUAAAAUCUACACGAAUUGA
RNAcentral lists this ribosomal RNA (866 nucleotides) under uncultured bacterium. RNAcentral describes it as "bacterial SSU rRNA". It matches the Rfam family "Bacterial small subunit ribosomal RNA", at positions 31 to 873 of the family's 1533-position model. The record is from RNAcentral.